Molecule: ribosomal RNA, 547 nt
Filed under: uncultured organism
Description: bacterial SSU rRNA
Rfam family: Bacterial small subunit ribosomal RNA
Source: RNAcentral
UCGCAAGGCUAAAACUCAAAGGAAUUGACGGGGACCCGCACAAGCGGUGGAGCAUGUAGUUUAAUACGACGCAACGCGUAGAACCGUACCAGGGCUUGACAUGUAUGUGAAAGUCCUAUGAAAGUAGGAGCCCUCUUCGGAGCACAUAUGCAGGUGUUGCACGGCUGUCGUCAGCUCGUGUCGUGAGAUGUUGGUUUAAGUCCCGCAACGAGCGCAACCCUUAUUCCUAGUUGCCAGCGUGUCAUGGCGGGGACUCUAGGAAGACUGCCUCGGUUAACGAGGAGGAAGCUGGGGAUGACGUCAAGUCAUUGUGGCCCUUACGCCCUGGGCUACACACGUGCUACAAUGGUCGGUACAAAGGUUUGCCAAGCCGCGAGGUGGAGCCAAUCCCAAAAAGCCGGCCUCAGUUCGGAUUGAAGUCUGCAACUCGACUUCAUGAAGCUGGAAUCGCUAGUAAUGGCGCAUCAGCUACGGCGCCGCGCAUACGUUCCCGGGUCGUUGUACACACCGCCCGGCACAUCAUGAAAGCCGAGUUGUACCCGAAGUC